RNAcentral lists this long non-coding RNA (35733 nucleotides) under Citrus x clementina. RNAcentral's name for it is "Citrus clementina (C. clementina) long non-coding RNA (CCLE_LNC002961)". Lineage: Eukaryota; Viridiplantae; Streptophyta; Magnoliopsida; Sapindales; Rutaceae. The record is from RNAcentral.
AUGGAAUGGGUUUGGGUUUAUUUAAGGGCACACAUACGAUGGAAGAAGCACGAGAUAGAGCUCUUACUUUGGUUGAUAAACUCAAAAACUCUUGCCUGUUGCUUGAUGGUCCUGAAAGUGAAUAUUUUUCUGUGCAUGAUGUUGUUCGUGAUGUUGCUAUAUCAAUUGCAUCUAGGGACCAACAUUCAAUUGCUGUGAAUAAUAUUGAGGCUCCUCCAAGGGAAUUGUUAGACAGGGAUACUCUCAAAAAUUGCACUGCGAUCUCUUUACAUAAUUGUAAAAUUGGUGAACUUGUUGAUGGUUUGGAAUGCCCGCGACUUAAGUUCUUCCAUAUUAGCCCAAGGGAGGGUUUCAUCAAAAUCCCUGAUAAUUUUUUCACAAGAUUGACAGAGCUCAGAGUUUUAGAUUUUACAGAAAUGCAUUUAUUGUCACUGCCGUCAUCACUUCAUCUCCUGGUAAACCUUCAAACAUUGUGUCUAGAUAAUGGUGUAUUAGGAGAUGUAGCUGUUAUUGGGGAGCUUAAGCAGCUAGAAAUCCUUAGCUUUCAAGGUUCUAACAUUGAGCAAUUGCCUAGAGAGAUAGGUCAAUUGACUCGGCUAAGGUCAUUAAAUUUGAGCUCUUGUUACCAACUAAAAGCCAUUUCAUCAAAUGUCAUAUCCAACUUAUCCCAAUUGGAAGAAUUAUAUUUGGGUGAUACUUUUAUCCAGUGGGAGACUGAAGGACAAAGCAGUUCUGAAAGAAGCAGGGCUAGCCUUCAUGAGCUGAAGCAUCUAUCUAGCUUGAACACUUUAGAAAUUCAAGUUCGAGAUCCCAAGGUUCUUCCAAAGGGUUUGCUUUCUCAAAAGUUGAAAAGAUACAAAGUAUUCAUAGGAGAUGAGUGGAAUUGGCCUGAUAGAUAUGAGAAUCAAAGAAUAUUGAAACUCAAACUCAAUGCCAGCAUUUGCUUGAAGGAUGAGUUUUUCAUGCAGUUGAAGGGACUUGAAGAACUAUGGCUAGAUGAAGUGCAGGGUGUGGAAAAUGUUGUUUAUGAAUUAGAUAGGGAGGGUUUCCCAAGUUUGAAGCAUCUUCAUAUCCAAAAUAAUCCAUACCUUCUGUGUAUCAAUGACUCAACAGAGUUGGUUCCUCUCGAUGCCUUUCCCCUAUUGGAGUCAUUAUCUCUUAGCAAUUUGAUGAACUUGGAGAAGAUAAGUUGUAGUCAACUCAGAGCAGAGUCUUUCAUCAGGUUAAGAAACCUAAAAGUGGAAAGCUGCGAAAAAUUGACCCAUAUCUUCUCAUUUUCCAUUUCCAGAGGCCUUCCACAACUUCAAACAAUUGAAGUGAUUGCAUGCAAGAGUAUGAAACAGAUAUUUGUGGUUGGUAGGGAAGAUGAUAUCAACAACACUGAAGUGGUUGAUAAGAUUGAGUUUAGUCAAUUGCGCAAACUGACUCUUAAAUCUCUGCCGCAACUUAGAAGCUUUUGCUCUGUAGUGAAGAACAGUUUGCAAAGGCAGCAGGAGCUAUUGGCAAGCGGUACAUUGUCUACUGAAGUCAUUCUGGAUCAUGAGCCUGAUACUAACAAACAAUUUUUCAAUGAAAAGGUUUGUUGUCAACAACCUUGUUCUGUUUCUUUAUAUCCUUUUUGCUUCUUUUGGUUUGUUAAAAAUUAAUUUGUCUGUGCAUAGUUUGUGUUAUUGAAAUUUUCUUUUAUUUAUAUGAAAAUAUGUUGAACCAAAAGCCAUAUAUCUGCAGGUUGCCUUCCCCAACUUGGAGACCUUGAAACUUUCUGCAAUUAAUUCUGAGACGAUUUGGCACAAUCAACUUCCAGCAAUGUCAUCCUGCAUUCAGAACUUAACUCGUUUGAUUGUGCAUGGCUGCAGUAAUUUGAAGUAUUUAUUUUCAACUUCACUCGUCAGAAGCUUGAUGCAGCUUCAGCACCUAGAGAUACGCAAGUGCAUGGACUUAGAACAGAUAGUNNNNNNNNNNNNNNNNNNNNNNNNNNNNNNNNNNNNNNNNNNNNNNNNNNNNNNNNNNNNNNNNNNNNNNNNNNNNNNNNNNNNNNNNNNNNNNNNNNNNGGACAUCAUGCUCCCUCAAUUAAACUUCCUAAAGAUGAAAGAUCUUGCAAAACUCACAAGAUUUUGCUCUGGAAAUUGUAUUGAACUUCCAUCCUUGAAACAGCUGCAGAUAGUGAAAUGCCCUGAAUUGAAGGCAUUCAUUUUGCAAAAUAUCAGCACAGACAUGACUGCAGUGGGGAUUCAACCUUUCUUCAAUAAGAUGGUAAAAGACUUUCACAUUCUUCGCUCUCUAUAAUCUUUGUGGUCUUAUAUUCAAUUAUUUCUUUAUUCUAAAAGAUUUUCCAUUUCUGCUUUCAACUAGAGUAAGAGGUUAGUAACUCAGCUAUUCAAUGACAUAUAUAAUUGCUACAGGUUGCAUUACCUAGCUUAGAGGAAAUGGUACUUUCCAACAUGGGUAACUUGAAGACGAUAUGGCACAGCCAAUUUGCUGGGGAGUCCUUCUGCAAACUAAAACUAAUGGAAGUUAAAUUCUGCAAAAGUCUACGGACUAUUUUUCCUCAUAAUAUGUUUGCAAGAUUCUUGAAACUUGAAUCACUAAUUGUUGGUGCUUGUCGUUCGCUAGAAGAGAUAUUUGAUCUCCAGGAGGUAAAUUCUGAAGAAACACAUUCUGGAGCAGCAACUCAAUUGAGAGAAUUGCAUGUUUUUCAUCUACCAAAAUUGACGAAGCUAUGGAAUAAGGAUCCUCAAGGAAAGCUCAUCUUCAGAAAUCUAGUCGUUGUGAGAAUUUUUGACUGUCAGAGUUUGAAAAAUAUUUUUCCAACCUCCAUUGCCAGGAGCCUUCUGCGACUUGAAACGCUUUCUAUUAAGGAUUGUGGAUCAGUGGAGGAGAUUGUUGCGAAUGACGGAAGGGGUAAUGACGCAGCCACUAAGUUUAUCUUUCCAAGUUUAACAUUCCUCAGACUACGGGAUUUGCCAGAUCUGACAACUUUCUACUCUGGAAUGCACAUAUUGGAAUGUCCCGAGUUGAGAAAACUAGAAGUUAACCACGUAGAUGUGUUUACUUCAGAAUAUAUUCAGGAGGGCCAACUUGAUUUUCCAGCUCAAGAACCACUCUUUUGGUUCGAAAAGGUACGAAUUAUGAUUUUAUUUGCUUUGCUGAAAUGAUCGAUUUAUUUUUGAAAGUUUAGUCACGUUAGUUUGUGACCUGACCAUAUUUUUUUCUCUUUUUUUUUUUCAUUUACUUUUUAUUUUUGUCAUCUCAACUCCAAGCUAGCUUUGUCUGAUUGGUCAACAGGUUUUCGCCAACUUGGAGGAGUUGACAUUAAGCAAAUGUAUCUUCACCACAUGGCGGCAGGCCCAGUUUCACAAGCUCAAAAUUCUUCAUUUCAUUUCUGAUGGGUCAGAUUUUUUCCAAGUUGGUCUGCUUCAGAAUAUUCACAACCUAGAAAAGCUUGUACUGAGUACUUGUGAAUACAAAAAAAUAUUUUCAUGUGAAGAGGUUGAGGAACAUGCCGAGGGGAUCGCACAGAUAAAAAGCUUAAAGCUAAAAAAACUUUGGUUGAUUGAGGAGCACUUAUGGAAUCCAGAUUCCAAGUUGGACUCAUUUCUUCAAAAUCUUGAAUUUCUAGAGGUAAAAAAGUGCGCGCUUAGUUUGAUAAGUCUUGUACCAUCCUCAGCAUCUUUCCGAAAUCUCACAGUUUUGAAGGUAUGCAACUGUUGGCAACUAAUAAGCUUAGUAACACCCCAAACAGCCAAAACUCUUGUGCAACUUAGAGAAUUGAGAGUAUCCGAAUGCAAUAGGCUGGAAGAAAUAGUUGCAAAUGACGGAGAUGCAGACGAUGAAAUUGUUUUCAGCAAAUUGAAGUGGUUGUUUCUUGAAAGUUCGGAAAGUAUCACAAGCUUCUGCUCUGGCAAUUACGCCUUCAGUUUCCCAUCCUUGGAAGAUUUAAUCGUGGAGAAUUGCCCCAAGUUGAAUACUUUCUCUGCAGGAGUUUUGAAGACACCAAGGUUACAAGCAGUUCAAAAUUGGGAACUGGGUGAAGACUUUUGGGCAGGUGACGUCAAUACAACACUUCAACACUUGAAAGAAAAAGUGGUACGCCACCGAUUCAUUAAUCUGUCUCACUAACUUGAUAGCUAGUGAACAUAUUUAGUCUGCUACUGAUAAGAGUUGUGUAAAACUGUAGGCUAAACGUCGCAUGACAGAGGUUGAAUACGAUUCUGAGACGUCGAUGUCAGAGGAAAAUGAGGCGGAGGAGGAGGAGGAAAAUGUAGGGGGUGACCCAUCGGUAUGUUUAAGAUUUAUUUUAUUUAAUUUUCAUAUUAAUGAUGUUCUUUUUUUAUGUAAUUAUGAAUUGAUAUUUAAAACUCUAUGCUUACCUUACUGGUAUAAUGGUAAAUUAAUCAGGCUGAACGUCCCAUGACGUUAUCGCAUACUGAUGAGGAUGAAGAUGAGGAGUAUGAAGAUGAAGAUGAGUAUGGUGAAGAUGAUGAUAUCCAUUCAUGUUGAAAUCACUCACCAUGAGAAGGAUGAUAAACCAGUGACAUUGCUGGAAUGACUUCAACGUUUAUGUUUUGUGUUCCCUGUUAAGAAUAUUAGAGGUACUUUGUUGGGCAAGAAUUGUACAGGUUGAUUCUAACUAAAACCUACCAAAUGGCUUGUUUUAACACGGAAGAUUGUAAUAGCAGUUCAAAACAAUUGAAAGUUAUUGCUUCAAUCACCUCACCUGCCUUGUUUCUUUAAAUGAACCAACUCAAUUAUCUCCAAUGUAUAUUAAUUGAAUUUGAUAAAUUCAUUUCACAACAGCUCAAGACAGUAAUUGAGUGUACUCAGAUUCUUGAAGGUUACCAUACCUCGUGUUGCGUGAUCAACAAAGUAUGGACCCUAACACUUCCAUUUGGUGUAAUUAACUAACUAAAUUGAAAGAACAAAUAAAUUUAUAAAUAAAUAGCUCAAUAGCUCAAAAAUUCAAGUUUUCAGUAUAAUAUCAAUUGGCACAUGUUCAUCAAUGGUGUCAGAUAUCGAAAGGAACACAUUAACCAGAAGGAGUGAGAAAGCAAUCAAAGAACAAAAAAUUGACUGUUGAAUUAGAUGUUAGUUUUUAAAUUUUAUCAAACUUGGAGGGGCAAUUAGUAAUUUGUGAAAUCUCAGAAAUAGAAGAAGCUGGACUUCAACCCGUUCAGGCCCUUUUGCUACUACCCCCGAGGCUUUAGCCCAAGAUGAAAUGCGCACGCGCGAAAUAAGAAACAUAAAAACGAAGCACCACGCAACGUAGCAAUAUGUUGUGGAGACUACCAUAUAAUCAAGUACACGUGGCAUUUUUAAAAGCCUUUCCUUGACUUAAAGGCGUAGAGACCUGUCCAAGUAUGCCACGUCAGCGUCAUUUACAGGGAGGCACCGACGCCAGCCGCAAGCCCGCAACAGCCCACCGGGCAAGUAUGGAGUGUAGGAGUUGUGAAUGUUAACCGGCUUUGCAUUUUUGAAACUUAAUUUAGAAACUAUUAAAUUUUCUCCCCCUCUAAGGCAAUUAAAAAAUGCAUGUGGGUCGCCUUCUGAUAAUAGAAAAUGUCACAUUCUAUGCUACCACUUAAUAGUAAUCAUUUGAGUGAUCUAAUUAAUGAAUUUAUACGGUAUCAAUUUUUAAAAAUAAAUUUAUGCAAAAACCUGUAGUUCUAUUAAAUUUUGAUUAAAUUUUUUAACUUUGAAGAUUAUUAUUAUUAUUAUUAUUAUUAUUAUUAUUAUUAUAAACAGGGAUGGAGCCAGCAUGUGACGAGGUGGGGAUAAAAUUAUUAUUAUUUUAUCAUUUAACUUUGAUUAAAUUAUUAUUUUAGUGAUCCUUUUUACCCUAGUAUAAAUAGAACAAGCUGUCUUUUUCAUUAUAAGAGAGAGAUGGAGAGACAAGAGAGAAAAAAAAAAGAAAAAAAAAAGAGAAGAAGAAAGUCUUCUUCUUCUUCUUAGUUUUACCAUAGACAACACAUGAGAUCAAGUUGUUAUUGUUGGGAGAAGUUUUGAAGGUAUGUUUUAAUUAUUGGUUUCUAUUAAAUUGUUGUGGAGAAACAUGAUUGCAAUAGGAGUAGAAAUCAAAGAUUUUACAUAAAUAUGCUGACAGUGAAUUAUUUCUAAAAUCAUAGUAAUUUGUACAAAUUGAUUUUGAUUAUGAUUUUUGGGUAUGUUAAACUAGACAUCGUCUAAUAUGUUUUGAAACUUGUUUCAAGUUAAUCGGAUAAGAUUUCAAUUAAUUGUGAUUUUUCAAAGUCAAGUCUGAAAACCUAAAAAUUUAUGAUUUCAGUGAAUUACGAAAUUAUUUCUACCAUAUCUAGACUUCUUCAAAAAUUAUGAAAUUUGGACCAAUGAUUUUUAUAUAUGUCUAGUAUGAUUCUGGAAAUUUUCAUGAUUUUAUGAUAAAGAAAUAAAUUGUUUUGUAUUUGUAAAACAAGUGUGUUCAAAACAGAAAAUUGUUUGACAGUAUUGAUGAUGUCUGAAACGUGAAUUAUUUUCCAUUGUUUUGGAAGGAAUUAUGUUAUGAAAUUUUUAUCAAUGAACUUUCAAUGUGUCAGCAUAUGGUCUGUAAAAUUUGAGAUUCUUCCAAUAAGAGAAUAAUUUAUUAAAAAUCAGAGAAGUAUGGACUGUUAUGUUUUGAGGGCCGAUUAUUGAGGACAUUUGAGGUUGAGCUUAGGAGUUGUUUAAAUUGAGAUAUUUGAGGACAUUAGAGUUUGUGAUUGAGAUUUGAUUAUAUCUUAUGAGAAUUUAUUGAUGAUUUUAGGUUGAUGGUAUCAGUACGCAUUUGUUACAUGAGGAUGCCAAGAGGUAAGUGAACUAGACUUUAAAACGAAUCAAAAUAAAUAAUAUAUAUGUUUGACUUAUAUGAAAAGCCUAUUUUGAUAUGUACGAAUAUGGAUUUAUACGUCUCUGCUCAUGUGUUUAUGUGAUGUGUUGUUAUGUAAGGGGCGUGAUUAUGUACAUGGGCAUAUGUGUGUGUGAUGGUUCAUUGGCAUGAGCACGAAAAUGCAUUGGGAUUUCUAUGAAUGAUUUUAGCAAAUAAGAUUUCUGUUUUAUGAGAUUUUGCAUUGGGGGCCACCUCUUGAGACUAUGCGGGGGCCACCUCUUGAGGGCCAGAGCGCCGCAAAGUGCCACGCACAGCACAAAGUGCCACAAUUGCAGAAUAUGCAUUUCAUCGUAAGAAAAUGAAAAAGUUUGAAAGUGACAGAAAGAGAUUUUUAUGAAAUUAUUUUACAGUAUUUCUAAAAGAUCAUGGCAUAUCAUCCAUCUGCAUUAUGUAUAAGUAUGUAUGUACUUUCGUAUAAGAAAAAAUGGUUCACUUACUGAGUUUUAUACUCAUUAUAGUUUAUCGUGAUUCAGUUUUCAGAAGUCAGGAUUGAUUCAUGAUGAGUGACAAGUUGAAGAUGGUAGAUGGUUUGACUAAAUUUUUAAGGUAUUCCGCUGGCUUUUGUAUUUGAGGCUUGAAUUUUUAUUGUUUGUAAAGAGUUAUUUAAAUUAUAUGUGAGUUGUGGACAUAUUUGCCCUUGGAUUUCAGACUGGGGUGUUACAUAGGCCCCAGCUGGCUUUUAAUUUUUUUUUGAUAAUUAUACUAAAAAAUUGUAUUUUAUUUGUUAUGUAUGAAAAAUGCCCCACCUGAAUUGUAAAAUUUGAAAUUGACUCCAAUAAUUUUAAAAUAUUCAUAUUGUCCCUAGUUUAAAUUUCUAGUUAUAAAUAAUUUAAUUAGUUAUUAAAAUUUCAUGAAAAUUGAUUAAAGACACGAGAACAAAUAUUAAAAUAAAAAACAAUCAUAACAAAAUGUUAGUAUAAUGGUUAAUGGACCAGUCUUUAAUCUUUUUAUUUUUUUAUUCAAGUAAAAUCAAUUAUUUAGUCUUUCAACAUUGAACCAUAAGUUGUAGUCUACCUAAUUCUAAUUUUUAAUUUUCUAAUUAAUCUUUUGUCUAGUUUUAAAAUUUAUAAUUUUAUCAUGCAUUUCAUAUUUGUUCUGUGUGUUGUGAUAUAUGAAUAUUUUUGUUAUUAUUAAAAGAUUUUAAGAGCAAAUUAAGUAAUAACCUAGUCUUGUAUAUUGAAAAAUAUAUUUUUGCUUAUAUUGAUAAUGCAUUAUUUUCAACUCAUAAAAUUCCAUUGAGGAGUUUUCACGGAGAACCAUUGUAAUAAGUAAAUUUAUUAUCAAUGAAUAUUAUAGUUGUAAUGUUAUAUAUUGCUAUUUAAAUUUUUGAAAUGUAUUAUAUUUUAAAUAGGGUUUCAAUUAGAUGCAUAUAGACGCACUCUAUAAGGAGCACAAUUGUACAUGUAGCAAGCUCCCAUUUGGAGUUUAUGUGGCUCACAAUACAAUUUCCCAAAUGAGGACAUAUCACACAAGCAAUAGCGCAUUCGAGUCAUGUUUGAUUUUAAAUGUGCCCCGACUUGAUCAAAAUCCUGGCUACGUCCCUGAUUAUAAAGACUUAGAGCGUUAGCCUCAGGUCUGCAAGUCUUUCUUUAUAUUAUUUGUAGGCUGUUAGAUAUUUAUCAAUUCUUUUCUAUGCUUUGUCUCUUUGGCUGAAUGACAUGUGGUUUAUGGUUAUUGAUUCUGAUUUCAAACAUAUAAAUUAUGAAGACAAAUACAAAUAUUUCAUUAUUAUCACUUAAUCUCCAAUUGUUUUGCUCUUUCCCUCCUUAUGUAAUUCAGGCUCUAAAACUGGUACAGGCUGACUCUCAUAUUUUUAAUUUCUCAUUCAUAGCCCCCAAGAACUUUAUAUGAUUCUCUAAUUGCCUAAGUCUUUCUUAAUUACAUCUGACUGUGAAUACAUAUAAAGAGAGUUGUUGGCUUGCUGCUUUCAACGUUUUGUUUGUUUUAGUUGGAUUAUUUGAUUUCGGCCGGUGGCUAGUGUUGUUGAAUAGAAAAUCCAAUAUAUGAAGACCAUUCAAUUCAUUUCCAAACAAAUUAAAACUCAAUUAAUAUAUUCCAAUAUUUUUUUUUAAUAGAAUGGCCUAUUCAGAUGAGUAAAAUGCACAUAACGAAAUAAAAUAAUUAAAAAUAAAAUUAUUAAGGAUGAAAUGUAGUGGAUUAAAUACAAUAUGACAAAAAAAGAUUUUGGGUACUCCUAGAAGAAUUACCCUCAAGUCGGAUAAAUCCCAUUUAUAUAAAUUAUUGUGAAAAUGAGUUGAAGUCUUAGCUCAAGUAGUAAAAAAGUAUCGCUUCUUCGAGGCAAGGUCUUCAGUUUGAGCCUCAGUAAAGGGGAAUGGACUGAAAUCCAGCAUUCCAUAGGAAAAAAUUACAAAAAAAAUGUGAAAGAAUAAAAUGAUAUCGGUCAGAAAAAGAUAAAGCAUAAUGAAACGAAUAAUGCAGCGAUUAAUAGAUAAUGAAGGAAACCUCAAAAACUCCGUUUUGAAUUCACAACAGUAUUCAGUAGCUGGCUUUAUUGUUACAUAAGGUCAUGAAAUAAUCAAGAUUAAAAUCAGUAUCUAUUACUGAACGCUCUAUCUUUUAUUUUCAUUUCUCUCUGAAAUAAUGAAAUGCCUGGUACGCUAGAAAUGUUCUCUUCUGAAUUUCUUACCAAAUGAAAAACACGAAAUUCUUUACUUCCAAUUUUUUAAAUUCAUAAAUUCAUAUAUUUAGUACUUUUUUUUGUCAGUUUUAUUUAUAAUUAAUAGAAUUUAAUCCAAUUAGCAAGUAGGAGCGUCUUUAAGUAUUGAUAAAUUAGACAGUCACCUUAUGUCUCAUAUUAUUAAAAGGCUUCAUUUCUUAGUAUUUCCAUAAUAAUAUUUGAAUUAAUUAAUUUUUUUAAGUUACCUACAGUUAAAAAAAAAAAAAAAAAUUAAUAAGUCUUGUUUUCUAUGACAAGUAGGUUUUGUCUUGUUUUCUAUGACAAGUAGGGUCUUUUCUUUAUUCAAGAGUUGUUUAUCAUUUUGAAUCCUUUGAAGCAUCAAUGACGUCCACAAACACAAGUUCGCAAUCGGCCAUGGAUGAGAUUUAUGCUUCUUUGUCUAUUGAAGAAGAAGACGAGGGGGGUCUCAUAAUAGAGGGAGACGAUGUUGAAGAUGGGAAGGAUGGCAAGAUUGACUUCCGAUUUUGUUUGGUAGGAAGAUUCCUGACGGACAAGGUCAUUAAUUUUCCGGCUAUGAAAAAUACAAUGGCAGCACUCUGGCGCCCAGGGAAAGGGAUUUGUAUCAAAGAUUUGACUCCAACGUUAUUCCUAUUUCAAUUCUUCCAUGAGAUUGAUAUUCAGAGAGUGCUUGACUCCGGGCCGUGGACCUUUGAUCAACACAUCCUUAUUGUUAAGAGGCUGGGUGAAUCAGAACAACCCCAAAUGGUACCAUUAUAUCAUACAUCGUUUUGGAUUCAAGUCUAUAACUUACCAAUUGGCUUUCUUUCUGAGAAGGUGUUGCAGAACAUCGGAAACUAUAUUGGGGAAUUCCAGGCCUCGGAUGAAAAUAACUUAAUGGGGGUUUGGAGGAAUUAUAUGAGGAUAAGGGUAUCUCUUGAUGUUCGAAAGCCGCUUAAACGCCGUAUGAAGCUGAAGAAAACUGGGAGUGAGUGGAUAUGGAUAGAUUUCAAGUACGAGCGUCUUCAUGUAUUUUGUUUUAUAUGUGGGUUGCUUGGCCACACUGAGAAACAAUGUCCAUCUCUUUAUGACUGUCAUGCAAGCACCAUUACAAAGCCAUAUGGGCAAUGGAUGAAGGCUCCCACAAGAAGGAAUAACAUGAAUUCCGGUGAGAAAUGGUUGCGUUCGGUUCCCCCGGAGAUGGGAGAAGGAAAAUAUGGAAACUGCAUGGAAUCCGCGGAUGAUAUGUCGAUUGAUUCAGUGCAUCCCAUAAAAUCAGGAAUUGCAAACUUACGUAGCACUGAGGGAGUGAGAAGGAUAGGUCAGUGCUGCUUAACAAGGCAUCCAAUUUAUUGGUGCCAGCCAAGAGUCAACUUACUAGCAAAGGAAAAGAAGUAAUUGGUACUGGGCCAACAAAAGAGGGUGAGGAGGAUUUUGAGUUGGGCCUUGUAGUUGUUGAGAAUAAAAGAAGAAGAUCUAAGCUAGAACUGGAAGAGAAUCCGGUACUUCAAAGUGGUACCUCGCAUAUGAUGGAGAUAAGUUUGUUUCAAAAAAACGGAUUAGUGGUGGGCUCUGUCAAUCGGGCCCACCGAACCCAAUGAGUAUCCUUAGCUGGAACUGCCGUGGGCUGGGCCAACCACGGACAGUUCAGGUUCUCACAGAUUUGGUCAAGCACAAAAAACCUUCUUUUGUCUUUCUUAUGGAAACUCUCUGCUAUAGAAAUCAGUUGGAGUUUCUUAAAAAUAAAUUAAAUUUCGAAAAUAUGUUUGUGGUGGAUCGGGUGGGCCGUAGUGGAGGAUUGGCCUUACUAUGGGAUGGCAAAUACGAAGCUCACUUAAUCAAAUAUGCAAAGAAUUUUGUGGAUAUCGAAAUAAGAGGAGCGGGUAUGGGUCACUGGCGUUUGACAGGUUACUAUGGGUAUCCAGAGUCAGCUCGAAGACGUGAGUCUUGGGACCUUCUUCGUUACCUUGCUACCAUUUCAUCUCUGCCAUGGAUUUGCUUAGGGGAUUUCAACGACCUACUGUUUAAUUAUGAGAAAAGAGGGCGUCGAGCUCAGCCCAAUUGGAAGUUGCGUGGCUUUCGUGAGGCUGUGGCUGAUGCUGGUUUGGUGGAUUUGGGGAUGGCGGGUUACCCAUUCACUUGGGAGAGGUCGCGUGGUGCAGAGGAGUGGGUCGAGGAGCGGUUAGAUAGGGCUCUUGCAAAUACGGCAUGGUGUAAUUUAUUCCCGCAAGCAAAGGUUUGGAGUUUGGAGGCAACUUGUUCUGAUCACUUACCCAUUUUCGUGGACCAGAAUCCCUCGGGCUUCAUUCAUCGUCACACACGGUUUAGGUUUGAAAAUGUGUGGCUUCGAGAAUCAGAUUGUGAGGAUGUUGUUCAAAGAAGUUGGAGCUCUUCUGCUGGUUUUCCAAUUCAGCAUAAAUUAGCUGUAUGUGGAGGGGAUUUAUGGAUCUGGGGGGGAAAGUUAUUUCGGGAUUUCCGCAAACGUAUUGUGGACUGCAAACAACAGAUGACAAUUUUGCGUGGAAGGAGAGAUCAAGAAGGGCUGGAAGCUUUUACAGAAGUCAGGAAGCAGUACAAUGAAUUACUUCACAGCCAUGAAGUCUAUUGGAAACAGAGAGCCAAGUCUUUUUGGCUUAAAGAGGGGGAUAUGAACUCUCGGUUUUUCCAUACUACAGCCUCCAAGAAAAAGAAGAAAAACAUGAUUGAUAAGUUGCGGAAUCAACAGGGUAUGUGGUGUUCACACCCUUCUGAGAUUGAUGCUUUGAUUGUUGAAUAUUUUCAAACUUUAUUUUCUUCGGAGAGUUGUAUAUGUGAACCAGUAUUAGCUUGUGUUGAGGCUAGUAUCACUGCACUACAUAACCAAUUAUUGUUAGAACCUUUCACGACUCUAGAUGUUAAAGAGGCCUUAUUUAGUAUGCAUCCAGACAAAUCCCCGGGACCGGAUGGCAUGAACCCAGCAUUUUAUCAGAAAUUUUGGCAUGUAGUGGGGAAGGAUGUUACUGAAGCUUGUCUUAGUUAUAUCACGAAUCGAGCUUUCCCAGAAAAAUUUAAUGACACUUUGAUUGUAUUGAUUCCUAAGCAUACGCAGCCUGAACAACUGACAGAUAUGCGUCCCAUUGCAUUAUGUAAUGUAUUAUAUAAAAUUGUUGCCAAAAUGCUUGCAAACAGAAUGAAGCUUGUUCUUGGUGAAGUUAUUUCAGAUUCCCAGAGUGCAUUUGUUCCGGGCAGAGCAAUCACCGACAACAUUCUUAUAUCAACUGAAAUUAUUCAUUACUUAAAGAGGAAAAAACAAGGAAAGGCUGGGACAGCUGCGCUUAAGAUUGACAUGUCUAAAGCGUAUGAUCGAGUUGAGUGGAAUUUUUUAAAGCUCAUGCUGUUGCGGAUGGGUUUUGAUGAGGGUUGGGUCGAGCUUGUUAUGAUGUGUGUUUCUACUGUGAGAUACAAGGUGCUUAGAAAUAGGGUAGAAGUGGGUCCAAUUGUUCCAAGUAGAGGUCUCCGCCAAGGGGAUCCAUUAUCGCCCUACUUAUUCAUCAUUUGUGCUGAGGGGCUAAGUUCUUUAAUUCGUAAUCGUGAAAGGGCAGGAUUAAUUCAUGGAGUCAAAGUCGCCAGGAGGGCCCCUGCGGUAUCCCACUUAUUUUUUGCUGAUGACUGCUUCAUUUUCUUUAAAGCUCAACACAAUGAAGCCAGAAUUAUGAAAAGUAUAUUGGCUGUUUAUGGUGCUGCUUCGGGACAGAAGGUGAAUUUGAAUAAAUCAUCAAUCUCUUUCAGUGCAAAUAUGGGCGAGGAGUCUAUACGCCAGGUGUGUGGCAUUCUGGAAGUUCCUGCCACAGACAAUCACGGAACUUAUUUGGGGCUGCCCUCACAGAUCGGCAGGAAGAAGAGCGUGGUAUUUAAUUUUAUUAAAGAGAAAGUCUGGCAGCGGCUUCAAGGGUGGAGUCAGAAAUUUUUGAGUAGGGCGGGAAAGGAAAUCAUGCUGAAAACAGUAGCCCAGGCUGUUCCAAAUUAUGCUAUGAACAUAUACUUACUGCCUCUGGACUUGUGUAACGAUCUGGAGAUUAUGAUGAAUUCAUAUUGGUGGGGAUCUACGAGGACUGGAGGUAAAGGUAUUCAUUGGCUUCGAUGGGACAAAAUGUGUAAGCCAAAGUCUGUUGGGGGUAUUGGUUUCAAAAGAAUACAUGACUUUAAUAUAGCCAUGCUUGGGAAACAAUGUUGGAGACUUAUGACUAAUCCGCUUUCUCUUGUAGCAAGGAUCCUCAAGGCCCGAUAUUAUCCUAAGGUUUCUUUUGUUGAUGCUUCUGUUGGUUUUAACCCCAGUUAUACAUGGAGGUCAAUUAUGGCUGCCAAGGAUGUAGUAGUGAAUGGUAGUCGCAUACGAAUUGGGAAUGGGCAGCAGGUUCAGCUUUCUAAGGACCCCUGGCUUCCUGAUGCCAACAAUGGCUUUAUCACAUCGGAGCUGGAUGAGAGUCUUGCAACAGCGACGGUGGAUAGUCUUAUGGUGCCAGGGCAACGGAGGUGGGAUUAUGAUUUGAUUGCGGAUGUCUUCAAUUCAAGGGACGCUGCCCUCAUUUUGCAGGUGCCUCUCAGUGUUAGACAAGAUGAAGAUUGCUGGUAUUGGCUUGCAGAUCCUAAAGGGCAAUUUACAGUUAGAAGUUGCUAUAAUCUGCUGAAUUCUGCAGCUAAUGUGACAAGCAGUAGGGUGUGGAAACGCUUAUGGGGGCUGGAGGUUCCAGGUAAGGUUAAACAUUUCUUUUGGCGUGCAUUGAUGAAUGUAUUACCAACAGUGGAUAACUUGCGGCCUCGAAAGGUUGAGGUAUCCCCAAUUUGCCCCAUCUGUAAUGCUGAAAAUGAGUCUGUGUUACAUUGUUUAGUGGAGUGUUUGUUUGCUCAAUCUUGCUGGUUGUUGUCUUCUAUUGGCACUUUUGGGAGCUGUUCUUCUUUGUUUGAUUGGUUUGAGCAAGUAUUUACCCGCUGCUGUAAAGACGAUUGUAAUUUAGCUGUGAUGUUGUGUUGGAGGCUUUGGUUUAAUCGGAAUGAUAAGGUGUGGAAUAAUCAUGGUAGCCGAGCUCAAAGUCUAGUAAAUGCUGCUGGUCAUUGUCUUUUCCAAUGGCAAGAGGCUAAAAGGAGAACUUUCACUAUUGCAGAGGAUAUUCCGUUGGGUCACGGCUCGGUGUGUUGGGGCAAGCCUCCUGUAGGUUGGCUGAAGUGUAAUGUGGAUGCAGGGGUAUCUAGAUCUCAGGGGAGAGUCAGCUUUGGAGGGGUGAUUAGAGACUCUGGUGGUGAUUUUAUUGCAGCAAAGUGUCAGAGUUUCCCUGGUUCUUUUCACCCUCGCGAGGCUGAAGCGUUGGCUGUCCGAGAAGCGCUUAGUUGGAUAAAACAUAUGCAGUUAUCUAAAAUUAUUAUUGAGACAGAUUGCUUAAAUGUGUAUUCUGCUUUACUUUCUCCAUCAGCUAGUUCUAAUGGUUUUGGUUUACUUAUUGCGGAUUGUAGAGCUAUAGCUCAAGUAAUUGGAGAAGUGAGAUUCUCUUUUGUGCGUCGAUCUGCGAACGCCGCUGCCCACAGUGUAGCUAGAGUGGGGGGUUCUAUGUCAGGUCCUAGAGAGUGGAGGGUUGUUCCACCUCUAUGGUUAUGUCCUUUGUUGACUGAUUCUCUUGUUUAAUGAAAUUUCCAUUCAUCAAAAAAAAAAAAAUUCAUAAAUUCAUUAAUCGUGCUUCGUCAUCCUCUGGCCUUUCCACUUGUUUAAUCUGUAAUCCAUAAUUUAGAACAAGAGUACUAUUUGUUGAUUAUAAUACGUUACGUCUUAUUACAACAAUCGUUUUAACAACAAUUUGCUAGAAUCUUUGGGAAUAUUUAAUGGAAAAAUGUUAUUUUCAUAAAAUUGUAAAAAAAAAAAACAAAAAGAUAAAAUUAAUAAAGUGAUUAAGUUUGUCUUUUAUUAAAAUGUUUCUUUCUUUUCUUUUGUGUGCAAAUAAUAUAUGUUAUUUUCCAUAAAAUUGAAAAAAUAAAUAAAACAAAAAGAUAAUAUUAAUAAAGUUAUUAAGUUUGUCUUUUAUUAAAAUGUUUCUUUCUUUUCUUUUGUGUGCAAAUAAUAUAUCUCAUAUUUAAUUUUUGCACAUAAGGUCUUAAGCAGUCAGUUAACAGGAGGCUUGAAAAUAAGGUGAAUUAAUGCUUUGCUCUAUUAAAAGUAUUAAAGCAAAUUUUGUCACAUCAGUGAAAGCACUGAAAGGAGAGAUUUUAGAGUAUAUUAGAGGUACAACACCCCUCAAUGCAUAUAUGAUAUAUAUAGAAAUGUUUCAAUUUGAAAUUUUAAAGUGCGGAAAAGUCCGAGAAACGCAUAAACCAUCUGCUUUAAGCGCUUUAAGCUUUAAGCCUUUAAAACCCUACGGUUUUAAAGCUUUCUCAGACUUUUCAUACACUUUAAGAUCUCGGACUAGAAAACUACCAAUGAUAUAUACAUCAAUUAAAUAUAACUACUUAUUACACGAUAUUUUUUGAAAAUAAAUGCACACAUAUCAUACAUACGUUUGAUGUACUCUAAAAUGAUUUGUGCUCUCAGUAAAUUUUCGACGCUGUUUAGUAUUAAUCAAAUUCUCUCUUGAGAAAUUUUAGAAUACAUCAGAUGUAUUAUGUCACCACUACAACAAACAAAUAAUGUUAUGAUAUGUGCGUCUUUAUUUUGAAAAACCACCAUACAAAUGAUGAUUGGAUUAAAUUUGAUUACACAUGUCAUAAAUACAUUAAUUAAUUAAUUUAUUAGCCGUGAUGUAUUUUAAAAUUCCUCCUCUCUCUUGCCAUCUACUCUUCGCAUUCAUUAUCUUAUUUUCACCAUUCUUCUAGUCAAUACUUAUGUUAUUUUGAUUAGUUCCCUCCUCCUGCAUUAUCUAAAACUAGCCGUCCUUCUUCUAUAAGCUCUUUGCAUUUGUGCUUCGACUAGAAACCCUUCCUUGUUUCCAUCUUCUCAUUUGAAAAAGUCUUUCCCACUACUUCUUGUUGUUUGCUUUUGUAGCCUGUCCUAUUGUUUUUAUGUCUCUAUAACUGUUUUUACUUUGUUUUGCCUUUCUUUUACUUCGUUGCUUCCGCACCAGUUUCAUUUUUCUAUCGAAGCUGUCCAUUUUGUUGUUGUUUUUUUUAAAAUCUCCCUUCUGGUUCGCUCCGUAUUUAUUUACAAUUGAGAACUGUUGGAUGUAAACCUAAAAUCUGAUCAAGGAUAAUAGUCGGAUGUGUCAAAUUUGUGUGCAUAAAACUGCUGACAUGCUGUUGAGUAUGUCAAAUACGCAUCAACGACAUAGUUCUAAUUGUCAUCCAUUUCGGCUAUUGAGGCAUGUGACUGAUCAGGUGCAACACUUAAACCAUUAGCCUAAACGGCACCUAGCUACCGUCGUUUUGACAGCUAAAGCAUAUACACAUGGACACACGGAGAUUAGCUGUUUAAUUGGUUGUCAGUCUGUUAGCUUGAGUGGAAAAAUUCUGGGCUCUAACUAACUCAGAAUUAUAAAGCUUGCUUGAGGGUUUUCUUUUAUGAUUUUUCUCUUGAUGUACAUGAACAAACAAGUUUUUCAUUUCUCAAGUAAAACAUUAUACAUUGAGCGUAAUGCAGAGGUUACAUUUUUUCACACGUAUUGUAGAAGGAAAUGUGGCGUUGCCGUUUGGUGCGGAUCGUGUCUUUGACAAGUGCAGAUCAUGUCUUUGACAACUUCCUUCAAUGUCGUUUUAUUUGACAUUCUCAACACUCCCCCUCAAGCUGGUGCAUAGAUGUCUUGCAUGCUUAGCUUGUCUAGGAAUUUUGUAAAUGCUAUGCUUGAAAUGGCCUUCGUUAAAAUAUCUACAAGUUGAUCUUCUGAUCAAAUUUUCGGCAGUUCUAAGAUUUUUUCAUCUAAUUUCUCCUUGAUGAAAAAUUUAUCUACCUCGACGUGUUUUGUUCGAUCGUGUUGAACUGGGUUAUGAGUAAUAUCUUGUGCAGUUUUGUUGUCAGAGUAUAGUUAUAUUGGUUGUUGUGAUGGAUAGCCCAAAUCUUUUAAAUGUGAAAUUUUUACAGUUUGCUUACUGGAAAACUGAGAAAUUUGAUGGUAUUCGUAGUUUUUGAAGAUCACUUGGAAAUUUUAUGGGACUGUUGAUAGAUUUGUAAACUCAAGUUUUUACAUAUGGUGGCUUGUUUUUUUGAUUGGCAUGGGUUUCUGUAAUGUUAGGAAUGAUUUUAAGGAAGAAAAAUGGUGGAAAAAAUGGUUGUGGGAAGAAUUUGGUUUCCUCUAUUUUUGUUACAAACAGAGCAGCAAACCAUGCUCUGAUACCAUGAAGAAAUAAGUUUUUCAUUUCUCAAGUAAAACAUUAUACAUUGAGUGUAUUUAUAGAUGCAGAGGUUACAUUUUUUCAAAGAUUAAAUAUACGUAUUACGGAAGGAAAUGUGGCGUUGCCGUUCAGUGCAGAUCAUGUCUUUGACAAGUGCGGAUCAUGUUUUUGACUACUUCCUUCAAUGCCGUUUUAUUUGACAUUCUCAACAGUACAAAGGGGGUAUAAAGAAGGGGUUUCGUGAAAUAAUUCUCUAGUUGUAUCCUGAACUUUUAAAGAGUUAGUGAAAUCUUGUUUCAUUGUUUCACAGUGGAUGUAGGCUUAGAAAGCUGAACAACUUAAUUUCCGUUUGUGUGCUUUACAUUUCCAAUUCUCUUAUGCUUCUGUGAUUAGUAAAUUCUUUGUUGAGUUCGAUUGUUUUUGGACUUGAUUACAAUCUCUAGUUUCGCUUGAUUAGGGAUUUGAGGAUUAAUUGCUUCAAGAUUGAGUCUAGGGGGUUAAAGAUCAGCCAUUUGCUUGUUUUAAAUUAACAAGAACUUUAAAAAAGAAAAAAAAAGAUUAAAGAUGGUGGAAAUCAUUGUUAACCUUGUUUUAGAAGUUGUAAAAUGCUUGGCUCCUCAAACAGAUCGCAGACUUGGUUAUCUGCACAAGUACAACGACAACUUCGAGAAUCUCAAGGCAAAAAUUGAGAAGCUCAAGGAUGAAAGUAGGAGCGUUUAGCGCAGAAUUUCUGAGGCUAAAAGAAAAGGAGAAAAGAUUGACGAGAAGGUUGAGAAAUGGCAGGUUAAUACGAACAAGAACAUUAAUGAGAUAGCAAAAUUCAUUUCAGAUGAAAGGCAAUAAAUAGGCGUUGUUUCAAGGGCUUGUGUCCUAAUUUGAAGACCUGCUAUCAACUUAGCUAUAAAGCAGUUACAAUGGAGAAGGCCAUUGUUGAACUUCAAGAAGAAGCUAGAAGAUAUGAUAGAAUUUCCUACUGUACCAUUCCAUAGGAGAUAUGGCUUACGUCUCACCAACGAUAUGAGGCCUUCAAAUCAAGGCUUCCUACUAUAAAGGCCAUACAAAAAGUAUUGAUUGAUCCUAAUUCAGCAUCAUCGGGGUGUACGAGAUGUGUGGCAUUUGGAAGACAACAUUAGUGAAAGAGGUUGCUAGGCUAGCGAGACAAGACAAGCUCUUUGAUCAUGUGAUCUUUUCUGAAGUUUCACAGACUCCUAACAUAAAAAAGAUUCAAGGGGAAAUUGCAGAGAAACUCGGUUUGGUCUUGCAUGAACAAACUGAAUCUAGAAGAGCAAAUAGGCUUUAUGAAUGAUUGAAGGAUGAGAAGAAGAUCCUUAUAGUGUUGGAUAAUGUGUGGAAACAUGUUUAUUUCGACACUGUUGGAAUUCCUUUCAGAGAUGAUCACAAGAAUGUAAAUUAUUGUUGACUGUGAGAGAUCGUAGUGUACUAUUUAAGUAUGGGCUCAAAGGAUGAGUUCUUAAGUGGCGUUUUGAAUGAAGAAGAAACUUGGAGAUUGUUUAAAGUAGUUAAUGUAUCGCAAAGAACAAGGCAAAAAAUUUAUAAUAAUAAAAAGAAAAAUAUUUAAAAGUAAAGAAAUAAAGAAAUAUUUUAUUUCAAUUAUAUUGUUAUUCACUACAAUACUCUUUUAUAUAGAGCUGAAAAACAUAAUAGAAAAACAAAAUAUCUUCCUAAUAUCAAGCCAUAUCUAACCAUCCUAAGGACUUGGUCUAUUGACCAAUUAUUUAGUAAAUCUAUUACUGAAGCAACUAAGACACAUUUCCAACACUCCUCCUUGUCUUAGUAGUUGCAGAGGCCUAAUUUGUUUAUUAACAUUUCAAAUCUAGCUUUAGGUAGAGCCUUGGUUAAGAUAUCUGCAACUUGUUCCUCAGUCUUGCAAUGAAGCAGUUUAAUUUCGCCACCCUUUUGUACUUCUCUCAAGUGAUACAACUUGAUCUUGAAAUGAUUAGUCUUGCCAUGAAAAACAUGAUCAUUUGAGAUUACAAUUGCAGCUUGGUUAUCUAUAUGAAUAUGUGUCAGCUCAUUUUGUUACAUAUGUAAAUCUACAAGUAUUUUCCUGAUCCAAAUUCCUUGAUUUAUUAUAGCAUUGGCUGCUACAUAUUCUGCCUCAGCUGUACUUUGAGCUAUCACAUCUUGCUUCUUUGAAGACCAUGUAAAAAUUCCUAAUCUAAAAUUGAAACAAAAACCUUUUGUACUUUUCAUAUCAUCAACAGAGCCUACUCAAUCACAAUCAGAAAAAUUAUGAGGCUUAAAAUUCUAACAAUAAGAAUAUUUAAUGCCAUAAUUUGUUGUGCCCUUAAUAUAACUUACAAUCCUUUUGUUAGCUUGAAAAUGCACUUCACUGGCAUAAUGCAUGAACCUCGAGAGUACGCUUACUGCAAACAUAAUGUCUAGUCUGGUGGCUAUAAGAUACAUCAAGCAACCAAUCAGGCUUCUAUAUUUGCUUUCAUCAACUUUUUCUGCUCCAUCAUCUUUGCUAAAUUUCUCUUUCUAAUUCAUUGGUGUGCUGGUACUUUUGCAAUCCUCCAUGUGAAGUUUUUUGAGUAUUUCCCUUGCAUACUUCUUUUGGCUUAUGAAGACUCCAUCAUGAUCUUGCUUCACCUUCAUUCCCAGAAAAUAGGACAUCAAGCCAAGGUUUAUCAUCUCAAAUACUUUGAGCAUUUCUGCUUUAAACCCCUUUACCAAUUUCUCAUUACUUCAUGUAAUAAGGAGAUCAUCAACAUAAAUAGAAACUAUAAUUGAGUUAGCAUUUGUUCUUUUACAUAUAAUGUAGCUUCACUUGGACUUUUAAUAAAUCUAAGACUUUGAAGGUGUUCAUCAAUCCUGCUGUACCAAGCCCUAGGGGCUUAUUUAAGACCAUAUAAGGCCUUCUUCAACAAGUAGACCUUCUCCUCAUGUCCCUUGACUUGGAAUCCUUUAGGUUGCUCUACAUAAAUCUCCUCUUGAAGAUAACCAUUUAAAAGAAGAAGAUUUUACAUCUAACUGAUAAGUCUUCUAUCCCUUUUAUUCUACCAAAGCAAGCAUCAUCCUGAUUGUAUCCAAGUGUGCCAUUGGAGUAGAAGUUGAUGAGAAAUCUACUCCAAACACCUAACUAUACCCCUUCACCACUAAUCUAGCUUUGUAUUUAUUUACAGAACCAUCUGCAUUAAGUUUGGUCCUGUAAACCCAUUUGACUUUAGUAAUCUUUCUAUGUUGAGGCCUAUUCACUAACUCCCAAGUGUCAUUUCUUUCAAUCAUUCUGAGCUCCUCUUUCAUUGCUUCAAUCCACUUGUUGUCCUUCUCUAUUUCUUUAAAUUCUACAGGCUAAAAAAAGCAACACUGCUUCUUUCAUAAAUAUUAGAUAAGGGCCUUAUACCUCUAACUGGGACAUCAUUUAUGUCGUCAUUAACAUAUUGCGGUGUCUUUGUCAACUACUUCUUUAUACACUGCUCUCAGUUCAAUUGUUUAUCCUCUAUAAACUUGACAUGUCUACUUAUAAGAAUUUUUCCAUUUUGCAGUUGGAAAAUUCUAUAAGCCUUUGAAGAAUUGCUAUAUCCAAUAAAAACUCAUAGUUCUGCCUUUUUAUCGAGUUUGCCUCUCUUUACCUGUCACCUGUGGCAUAUUAGAGAAACAAAGACAACCAAAAGUCUUUAGGUUCUGUAAAUUUGGUUUGUAACUAAACCACACUUCAAAUGAAUUUUUUUUUUCUGCAAAACCCUUGUUGGCAGCCUAUUCAGCAAAAAAACUAUAGUGUUUGCAGCCUCUGCCCACAUCUUCUUUUGUAAUUCCUUCUCAUAUAGCGCACAUUGUCAUUUCCAUAAUAGUUCAAUUUUUUUCUCACUCACCAUUUUAUUGUGGUGUGUAAGGAGCUGUAAGUUGGUGUUCAAUGCUAGCUUCUUCGUAGUACUUGUCAAAAGUGUCAUUUGUGUGUUCUUUCCCAUCAUCAAACUUUAUCUUCUACAUCCUGCAACCACUUUGAUUGUCCACUAAUUUUUUACAUUUCCAAAAUAUAUUGGCAACCUCAAAUUUGAAUUUAAGAAAAUAAAUCCAGCAAAAUCUGAUAUAAUCAUCAAUAAACCCAAUGUAAUAUUUACUACCAUUUAAAGAUGAUAUUUUCUGAGGUCCUCCAACAUCUGUGUGUACAAAUUGCAGCUUGUGUGUUGAUUUCUAUGUUGUUUGAGAGAAAGGCUUUCUAGCUUGCCUGGCUUAUCGAUAAGCCACACAAUCAACUAGCUUGUCUUCCAACAAAGGAACACUUUUCACCAAAUUAUGUUUAUGCAUAUAUAGAAGUCCAUCAUGGUGGAAAUGCCCGAGCCUUUUGUGCCAUAAUUCUGCAUUGGUUACAGUGCUUGAAAAUGAUAUUUGCUCCUCCAAGAGAUUUAAAGCAAAGUUUUUUGCUUUCAUUUUCACUUUAAAUACAUCUCUACCUUCUACGUCUUUGAUCAAGCACCAUUUGUCUUCAAAUAUAACUUUGAAGCCUUUUUCAAUCAGCUGGCCAACACUAAGCAGGUUCUGGUCAAUAUUAGAUACAUAUAGAAUAUCAGUAAUAGACUUCAAACCUAUUAAACUUUCUAUAGCCACAGUUCUUUUCCCUUUGGCUAGAAUAAAUUCACCAUUUCCAAUUUUAACUUUGGAAAUGAUUGUUUUAUCAGGCUCUUUGGAGAGCUCUUGGUCAUUAGUCAUGUGGUUUGUGCAGCCACUGUCAAUCAACCAGGAAUCCCUAGAGCUGUUGCUUGUCGCGAAGCAUGUUGCUGUUAGCAUAUAUGUAUCCAUAAUAUUGAUUUUGAUGAUAACAAACAAAAUUAAGAAUGAUUCAGUUUUUAAAAGCUCAAAUGAUUUUUAUACAUUUUAAAUAAAUCAUUAUUUUCACAUUUUAAAGGUUUUAUAUUUAAUGGAAAAAUGAUUUUAUGAAAUUAUUUAUUUUUCAAGUUUAUGGUUUAAAUGAAAGAGUUUUGAAAACUUUGAAAUCAACAAAUAUUGAUUGAAAUUUUGGAGAAGGAUUUAUUUGAAAAGUAUUCAUAGCAUUUUGGGCUAUAUCAUAAUUUUAAAAAGUUUUGGGAAUAGUAAGCAUUAUUUAGAAAUUCUGAAAUUGGACUUAUUUGCUAAAUGUAUAAUGUUUUGGGUCAUAGUACAGUUAUAUAAACUUUUGGGGUCAAACUAUUAUUUUACAAAAUAGUUCACUGUAGCAGUCACUGUAGCAGUUACUGUAGAAAACGGAGAUCCGACAUUUGAUAACGGCUCGCCGACAUCUAAUAGAAUUGAAGAUUAGCCUCUGGAUACUAACGACGAUCCGACAUUUAGAUAACGGCUAACCGACAUUGCACAAAAUUGAAAGAUUAGCCUUUGGACACUAAUGGCGAUCCGACAUCUAUAAAACGGCAAUCCGAAAAUUUGAAAAUUUAGCCCAACGGUCAUAUUGACCAGUCAAACAGUGAUCCGACAUCUAGUUAACGGCGAUCCGACAGUGAGCAGAAAGUCAAUAACGGCUAGUUUUCAGCUCCAACUGUAAAUAAGUUCAAUCCAAUUCAAACAAGAAGAAUUCUAACGAUCAUCAUUGAGCAAAAUAUUGAGAAUACAACUUUCAUUGAGCUUUAAAUCCUUGUAUUCAUCUUAUUCAUUCACACAUUGAGCUUUCAUUUGUGAUCAAAUACAUUGUGUGAGAGAAAUUCAUUUGUAAUCCUUUUUGUAAAAUCAAGUUAAAAGAUUUUAAGUGUUGUGAUACACUUGGGUUAAGAGAUUAGGGAUAAUCUCUUGUUGUAAAGGUCCAUUGAUACCUUGAAAGUCAAUUGUAAGCAUUUGAAGCCUUGGAGGCUUGCUUAGUGAAAUCCUAAGCUUGGUGAGCUUGAAGGCGUGGAUGUAGGCAGGGAUUGCCGAACCACGUAAAAAUCAUUGUGUUUGCUCUCUCUUCCCUUGCUCCUUUAUUAUUGUGCUUUAUUGAAUUUAUUGUUUUUGAUUCCAUUAAGGCAUUAGAUUAAAUUGUUGUGUGAUUUGCUUAGCUUAAUUUUUAAAAUCCCAAUUCACCCCCCUCUUGGGUUGCAUAACUAGAAUUUCAUUUGGUAUCAGAGCGAGGUGCUCUUGCGCAGACUUAACCGUUUAGAGUUAAAGAUCAAUAGCAACCCAAAUUAGCUCAACCAUCAUGGAAGGCCAAUCUACCACUAGACCUCCAUUUUUCGAUGGAAAUGAUUAUCCUUAUUGGAAAACUAGGAUGAGAAUCUUUUUACAAGCCUUAGAUUAUGAAAUAUGGGAAAUAGUUUGUGAUGGUUCAUUCAUUCCUAGGAAGAAUGCUUUAACUGAGUUGGAUAGGAAAACUCUAAAAAAUGUGUAUUUGAUAAAGGAGGACUUGGAUAUAAGCCUAACUUGAAACAAAAAUAUUAUAAGAAUUAUUUUGUUAAGGCUACCUCCACAAGUGAUCAUAAAAUUGUUUGUCAUUAUUGCAAUCAAAAUGGUCAUAUGAGUUUUAGAUGUUCAGUUAAGAGAAAUGUAUAUUAUGGAGUCAAGUGUAUUUGGGUUCCAAAAGGAACCAAAUCUAACACUCAAGGACCCAAGAGUAUUUGGGUACCAAAAUGCACAACUUGAAUAUUUUCUUUGUAGGUACCACAAUCAAGGAAUGGCAGAGAGUUCCUUGAUAAAAACUUAUGAGGAUAAUCACUUGAUCAUGGUGUAAGCAAAAAUGAUGAGACAAUAUGAUUUAAUUGUUUUGGUAACAAUUAUUGCCUUAUUGAUUAUAAGUGAUGGUCUUUUAAUCUUAGUAAGUAUUUAAUAAUUCAUUUGGUAACAUAACAUUAAGUGCAUUAACAUGAAGUGGAUAAGUUUAUUUUGCCUAUUUAUUAUGUUGAGUGGAUCAUGAAAAAUGGAUAGUAGCUUGAAUUUGUGAAAGUAUACUUGUAUGUUUACAUAAUUGAAUUAUCAUUGUGUUUAACUUUGAGUGCUUUAUCAUAAUGCAUGGUUAUAUAUAUAUGAUGAUAGCUUGUCAACUCAUCAUUGAAAUACAAGUAUGCAACCCAAGAGGGGGAGGGGGGGGGUGAAUUGAGAUUCUAAAAAUUAUUUGAUUCUAAAACAAAUAAUCAUGCAAAUCUAAAAUGAAUUUAAUGGAAUAACAAUUAAAUCAAUUACAAUAUAAAAAGAUAAGGGAAGAGAGAUUCAAACAUGAAGAUUUUUACGUGGUUCGGCCAACCUCGCCUACGUCCACACCUCCAAGCUUUCCGGGCUUGAGGAUUUCACUAAGCAAGCCUCCAAGGCUUCAAAUGCUUACACUUGACUUUCAAGGUGUCAAUGAACCUUUACAACAAGAGAUUAUCCUCAAUCUCUUAACCCAAGUGUAUCCCAACACUUACAAUCACUUAAAGUAAAAGAUUAAAAAUUAUUUUUCUCUCACACAAUAUUUAAGAUUACAAAUCAAUGCCCAAUGUGUGAAUAGAUGAAGCAAGAAUGUGUUUUAAAGCUCUAUGAAGAUUGUAUUCUCGAAUAUAAGCUCAAUGGUCGUGUUGUGAUCCAUUUUGUUUGAAUUUGAAUGAGCUUAUUUAUAAAUGGAGCUGAAAAACUAGCCGUUAUAGACUGUCUGAUCGCAAACGGUUCGCCAUUAACCAUUAACGGUUCACCGUUUAGGCUGGUCAAAGUUACUGUUGGAACAAUUUUCAAAUAAACAGUUUGCCGUUUAUGGUUACUCUUUCACCGUUAAUUCCUAGAGACCUGCAAGAUGAACAUCAGUUAUCCGUUUACAUUAAACGGUUAAGGAUUUGCAUAAAAUGACCUCUUUGGAAAUUAUCGGUUAGCCGUUUGUAAUUAACGGUUCACCGUUUGUUUCCAGUAACCUGCAAAACAAGUUAGCCUUAUCCGUUUCAGUUAAGCUUUUGCCGUUUGUUUACAAUCUUUCAUUCUGGAUUUUAUCGGUUAAUCGUUUCAAUAAACGGUUCACGGUUUAAUUCCAGUGGCCUUCCCAGCUUUUUGUAUCUUCCGUUUUUUCUUAACGGUUAAAGCUUAAGCAAUUUGAUACUCUCUUGUUUUAAUCGGUUAACCAUUUCAAUAAACGGUUCACCGUUUAUUUCCAGAAUCACAGUUUAAGCCAGAUUUUGCAGAGAAUCAUUUUCCAAUUUGAAAUUUAACAGUGAUCCAUCUUCUAUGAAUAUAAUUGGAAUGUUUAUAAGGCUCUCGUUUAUUAAGGAAUAGCUCCAACAUUUUAAUCAAAAUCCAUUUAAAGUUUGUUAUCAUCAAAAUCAAUAUUAUUAACAUAUUCAUGUUAACAAUCAUGAUGGAUUUGUUUGAUUUUAAUGAUUAUGUAAUGCCUAAGCAUGAUAAAUAAGUGAUAUGCUUUAAUUCUCAAUCUUUGAAUGCUUACAUAUUUCAUGAUUGUGUGAUGUAUAUGCAUGAUAGAUGAGUUAUAUGUUAUUUCUUGUAUUAGAAGUGAUCAUGGUGGAGUAUUUGAAAAUCAUGCAUUUGAGAAUUUUUGUAAUGAUUUUUCCAUUGAGCAUCAAUUUUCAUCACUUAGGACUCCACAACAAAAUGGAGUUGUAGAGAGAAAGAAUAUGUCUAUUCAAAAAAUGGCUAGGACCAUGUUGAUUAGAUCUCAUCUUAAUAAAACUCCCUAUGAGCUUUGGAAAGAUAGAAAACCCAACAUUGGUUAUUUCAAAGUUUUUGGAUGCAAAUAUUUUAUUUUGAACAUAAAAGAUAAUCUUGGCAAAUUUGAUCCAAAAUUUGAUGUUGGUAUUUUUUCUUGGCUAUUCAAUCACAAGCAAAGCUUAUAGAUUGUAUAACAAAAGAACUUUGGUUGUGGAAGAAUCUAUACAUGUUACAUUUGAUGAAUCUAAUUCUUCCUCUACGGAGAAAGUUGUUGUUGAUGAUGAUGUAGAUGAAAAGCUAGAAGAAGAUUCAUCAAAGGAUAGCCAAAAGAAUGCACCACUUGAAAAUCAAGAGGCGCAACAUGAAGAAACAAAUGCGGAGUAAAAUGAAGGGGAGAUUUUGCCGAAAUUUUUGCUCGCACAAAAUGGGUAAUAUCUUCAUUGAAUUAUUUUUGAUGAUCUUGUUUCGAUUGCAUCUAUCUAUCAUUUUUUUUAAUAUGAUGAAGUGAGAGAUAAAUAUGAUAUGUUUUUGGAUAAAAUCAUUUUGGUUAAAAUUUUAAAUUGGCCAUAUAUUUAGGGGGAGCAUACAAUAUGAUUUUGGAUAAUAUGCAUUUUGAAUUUUUUUGUUGUCCAAAGGGGGAGACAAAGUAAUAUAUCAUUUCGAUGUUGUCAAAAGGAGGAGAAUAAUAUGCACUUUGAGUAUUGUUUUGAUGAUUGAUAUGUGAUUAUGGUGAUGAUUUUGGGAUAUGAUGAUGAUUUGACUACAUGGUUGUUUUAUAUGAUAAUUUUAUAAGUUGUUGAUUUGGUAAUUGAUGAAAUAAUAGUUCAUGAUCUUUUUAUGGUUGAUGAAUUAUGUGAUGAUUUGUAUAUGGAGUUGGCUUGUAUCAUGAUUUAUAAUAAUUUGGGAGUAAUAUUAUUAAACUUGUAUUUGAGGUAAUGCUUGUUGUUAGGGGGAGAUUCUAUCAAAAUUUCUACUCGGCAACAUGGGCAACUAAUUUGCUACUCUUUUUCUUUUCCACUAAGUUUUCUUUUUGAUGAUGAGGGGGAGAAGAAUACAUGUAUUUAAAUUUGUUAAUUUACCUAAAUUGUAAGAGAAGCUUACAUUUAGGGGGAGCAAUUUGUGGAAUCAUUCUUUAAAUAUAUGAAAAGUUUGUCAUCAUCAAAAAGGGGGAGAUUGUUAGCAUAUAUGUAUCCAUAAUAUUGAUUUUGAUGAUAACAAAUAAAAUUAAGAAUGAUUCAGUUUUUAAAAGCUCAAAUUAUUUUUAUACAUUUUAAAUAAAUCAUUAUUUUCACAUUUUAAAGGUUUUAUAUUUAAUAGAAAAUGAUUUUAUGAAAUCACUGUAGCAGUUACUGUAGAAAACGGUGAUCCGACAUCUUGAUAAUGGCUCGCCGACAUCUAACAGAAUUGAAGAUUAGCCUCUGGACACUAACGGCGAUCCGACAUUUAGAUAACGGCUAACCGACAUUGCACAGAAUUGAAAGAUUAGCCUUUGGACACUAACGGCGAUCCGACAUCUAUAAAAUGGCAAUCCGAAAAUUUGAAAAUUUAGCCCAACGGUCAUAUUGACCAGUCAAACAGUGAUCCGACAUCUAGUUAACAGCGAUCUGACAGUGAGCAGAAAGUCAAUAACGGCUAGUUUUCAGCUCCAACUAUAAAUAAGUUCAAUCCAAUUCAAACAAGAAGAAUUCUAACGAUCAUCAUUGAGCAAAAUAUUGAGAAUACAACUUUCAUUGAGCUUUAAAUCCUUGUAUUCAUCUCAUUCAUUCACACAUUGAGCUUUCAUUUGUGAUCAAAUACAUUGUGUGAGAGAAAUUCAUUUGUAAUCCUUUUUGUAAAAUCAAGUUAAAAGAUUUUAAGUGUUGUGAUACACUUGGGUUAAGAGAUUAUGGAUAAUCUCUUGUUGUAAAGGUCCAUUGACACCUUGAAAGUCAAUUGUAAGCAUUUGAAGCCUUGGAGGCUUGCUUAGUGAAAUCCUAAGCUCGGUGAGCUUGAAGGCGUGGAUGUAGGCAGGGAUUGCCGAACCACGUAAAAAUCAUUGUGUUUGCUCUCUCUUCCCUUACUCCUUUAUUAUUGUGCUUUAUUGAAUUUAUUGUUUUUGAUUCCAUUAAGGCAUUAGAUUAAAUUAUUGUGUGAUUUGCUUAGCUUAAUUUUUAAAAUCCCAAUUCACCCCCUCUUGGGUUGCAUAACUGGAAUUUCAGUUGCAACAAAAUGUUGCUCCUCUUCAUGUUGCUCCGUAGAAGUGUUUGCCUUUUCAUGUUGUUAAGACUUGCAAAUAUGCUCAAUGUGUCCAAUCUUACCACAUUUUCUGCACUUGACAUCAGGCCUCCACCAACACUUCAUUUGUGGAUAAUUUGUCUUUUUAUAGUGUGGGCAUGCUUGAUAGAUCUUAUCCUUGUUUCUGUUGUUGUUGUUGCUAGUCUUUUUCUUCCUUUUGUUGUUGUUCCUAUCUUUAGCUCUUCUUGAACUUUCUGCCCUUGCUUGAAGAGCACUCUCCAUCGUUUCUUAUUUUCUCAUCAUUCUCUUUUACUAUGGUGCCUAUAAUGCAUUUACCAAUUUUGGUAAGGAUAUUCUUGACAAAUCCUUAGAUUCUUUUAGUGAAGAUAUUUUAGACUCAUAUAUUUCAGGCAUAAUAACAAGAAUUGUUUGCGCAAUUCGUUCAUCAGAGAAGUUCUUACCAAGCAACCUCACCUUAUUUACUAUACUUUGCAGCUUGUCAGAGUAGUUUUUGAUGGUUUUGUUAGGAUUAAGCGCUUACUACUAGGCUAAAAGCUUAGGUUAUAGCCAAGACGCAACUUUAUUUUCUUAUACCAUGGAAGCACAGAGCUCCACACUAAGCGGCGAGUGGAUAUGAGGGGCUGUACACAUUUGUAAUUGUGCCAACGGGUCAGGCAGUUACACCCUAGGUAACCUUACUGCCACCUCAAUGGAAUUACACAGUAGGAUGUUACACCUACAAACGCACAGAAGAAUUGUUGCAACCCAAGAGGGGGGUAAAUUGGGAUUUUAGGUUUCUGUCUCUUUCAUUUUCAGCAUUUCAAACUUCCUGAUCAAAUUGAGUGUUGGAUAUUUUUACUUCUUUCAUUGCCUUGGUAUUUCUUUUUAAGGUAGUCCGAUAUACUCUUUGUUGACUCCAAAUUGAUUAUUCUUGUAAAGAUAAUGCUUGAAACAACAGAGAAUAGGCAAUAUUUAGCUUUGGACUUCCUAGUCUUCCUCUCUUUAUGGGUCUUAAGCUGAGCCAUUAUAGGAUUCGUUGGCAAUGAGGGCACAUCAUAGUCUUCCUCUAUCAGAAGCAAUAUUUAAAGAAGGUACUACAACAUUUUGGUAUGACUGAGCAGACAAACCUGUGAAUACCCCGUUAGCUUUUGAUAACUCUAUGAAAUAAGAGUUAUCAUGACAUUUUUAAACUUAAAUCAAUAAUACUUAGAGAGUAAAAAAUGUGUUUUCAUUAGAUUUUUAUUAUAUUUUGCAUAAACAUUCAUCUUAGUUUAUUCAUAAUAAAUUUUGUUUGAUUUAGAAUAAUUUGUAUGCUAAAUCAUAUGCAUAAUUGUAGGUGUCCGGAAGCCCAAAUUUCAAGGAAUGCUGAUGCAAUAGGCUUGCAAAAGAUGGAAAAGAACUUAGCUACAAAAGAAUUGAAAUAAAUCGGGAACAGUGCAGUUGCUGUAGCCGUUGCUGUAGCAACCAUUGCUAUAGCAAUCCUGGAACAACGACAGAGAAAAUUUCCCGCGGGAUACUUGCAGAAUUGCGAUCUGUAGUUUCCUAAUCUGACUUAUGCGCGCCCUAGGCUUCCGUUUACCCUAAUUUUCAGCUAUAAAAGAAGCACACAUCAGAAGGAAUAAGAGGAGCCAUCACCCAAGGAGAAAAACACAAAGAAACAAAAGAAAAACAAGAUUCAAGAGAAAGAUUAAGGGCUGCACAAGAGGAGAAAUUGCAGAGAUCAAUCGGGAGCUCAGUCCUUCUUAUUCUUCUCUUAUUUUCUUAUUUUCUAUUUAUUUAUGGGGAUGUGUUUCAUGGCCGAAACUUUGUUCUUUAUUUUUCUUUUGCAAAUCAUGAACUAAAUUUAUUUAUAGUUGAGUGAUAAACAAUCUUGAUGGUUUAUUGACUAAAAAUAUGAGUUGCUGCAUGUUUGUUGUAGAGUUUUGUUUUGAUAACAUUUAUUUUUAUUCAUUAUUUCGGCUAAUCACCCAUUUAAUGAUACAAGUUAGGAGAGAGCCACAAAAGGGCCUAUCUUAGUGGAACAUAUAAGAGCAAUACUUGGUUUUAGAUUGGGUUUCCUGGAUUGAGUUUAACUUAUCCCAAAAGGACCAUGCUUAAUCUAAAAUUAGUGAUGAACUAGACAUAGAGAUUCGCCUUGUAGGGUAAAUAGAACCUAAGCGUUUAAUGCUAUAUCUUAUGUUGGCAUAACAACUGAUCACUGUUAGGUUGUAUAUAGAUAUAAGAUAUCAAACAUUCGACGGCUGAUGAUACAUAAGGAUUCUGCCCAGUGCUGUAGCAACUGAGCCAACCAUUAGAAAAUAGUCAAGACCAUUAGGAGAGUUUAUUCACUCAAAUACUCUAUAUUCCCAUUGGUUUUAUCCUUGAUCUUGACGUGAUAAUUUACUUUUUUGUAUUUUAUUUAUUGCGUUUUUAUUUUAAUUAGUAGAUUAAUUUCAUUAAUUGUUUUAUCUUAAUUUAAAGCAAAAUCUGCACUGUUAAGAUUCCUGUAGCAAGUCUAAUAACAUCAAUCCAUAUCGAGACGAUCUUGAAUACUCAUCACUUUAUUAUUUGUUGUGUACACUUGCACAUUGACACUAAUAGCAUUUGAAUUUAUACCCAACAACUUCUCAUUUCAAGCUUUCUGCACAACUAUCUAUUUCGACAGAUGCGAAACAAGAAUAUAUGUUGCAACUUCCGUACUGAAAUGUAGUGGGUAACUUGAUGUAUGCAAUGGUGUGUACAAGGCCUGACAUUUCACAUGCAGUUGGUAUAGUGAGUAGGUUCAUGGAUAAUCCUGGAAAAGGGCAUUGGCAAGCUGUGGAAUGGAUUUUUCAACACAUUCAAAAGACUAUGGAUGUUGGUUUACUGUUUGAGCGAGAUGAUAUACUUUGUCAAGAUGUAAUCGGGUACGUCGAUUCUGAUUAUGCUGGUGAUUUGGACAAACGAUAGUCAACCACCAGAUAUGUAUUUAUUUUUGCUAAAGGGCCAAUCAGUUCGAAGUCUACACUACAGUCUACAGUUGCACUGUCAACCACAAAAGCUGAGUACAUGGCAAUUACAGAGGGUAUUAAAGAGGUUAUUUGGUUAAAGGGUUUGCUUGAAAACUUGGGAUUGGUCCAGGAACAUGUUAACGUGUAUUGCGAUAGUCAAAGUGCUAUUCACUUAGCAAAAAACCAACUUUAUCAUGCACACAUGAAGCAUAUCAGCGUACGAUUUCACUUUUUGCGGGAAAUUAUUGAUGAGGGGAAGAUUCUUCUACAGAAAAUCAAGACUGCAGAGAAUCCUGCAAAUAUGUUGACCAAGGUAGUGACGGCAAUCAAGUUUGAGCAUUGUCUAAACUUGAUCAAUAUCCUACUAGUUUGAAAGCAGUCCGAGAAGGCAGAGACCGGAGGAUGGUUUGCUGAUAGUCGGCUCAAAUUAAAAAAUUUUCGCUGAAGUGGAGAAUUGUUGAAAAGUCAGUCCACCAAAGCUGAUUUUUUGUACAAUUUGGCUUGACAAAUUGGAGGUUGGUGGCACAAAUAUUUGACAAAAUGAAGCCAUGCAUGCAUGAAGUUUUUAGUGGCUACCAAAGUUGAUUUUUCAUUCUAAAUUCAAUUUGACAAUUUGACAAAUUGUAGCCAAAUUGGAAAGCAGUAGGUAAGCAUUACUUGCCUAUAAAUAGAGAGGAAAGGAAAAGCUUCAAAUCCAUCCUAAUUGAGAAAAUUGAGAGCAAUUGCAAGUGAAGCAAUUAGAGAGUUUUGAGAGAGCUUCCACUAGAUGCCGCAUGACAAAGGUUGAAUACGAGUCUAAGAUAUCGAUGUCAGAGGAAAUUAGGGAGGAGAAGGAGGAAGAUGUAGGGGGUGACCAGUUGGCUUGUUUAAAGUAUUUUUUAUUUUUUAGAUUAAUUAUGCUCUUUUUGAUGUUAAAUUAUGAAUUGAUAUUUAAAACUCUAUGCUGACCUUAUUGGUGUAAUGGCAAAUUAAUUAGGCUGAACGUCCCAUGAUCUUAUUCUUAUCGGACACUGAUGAGGAUGAGGACGAGGAGUAUGGUGAAGAAGAUGAAGAUGAGGAGGAUGAUGGUGCAGGUGAUAAUAUCCAUUCAUGUUGAAAUUACUUACCAUGAGAAGGAUGAUGAGCCAGUGACAUUGCUUGAAUGACUUUGACGUUUAUGCUUUGUUUUCCUUAUUAAGAAUAUUAUAGAUACUUUGUUGGGCAAGAAUUGUACAUGUUGAUUCUAAUUAAAACCUACCAAACGACCUGUUUUAACCCGCAAGAUUGUAACAGUAGUUAAGAACAAUUAAUUGAAAGUUAUUGCGUUGAUCACCUCACUUCACCUACCUUGUUUCUCUAAAUGAGCCAACUUAAUUAUCUCCAAUGUGAGAAAAUAUAGAAUACCUCAGAUGUAUUACAAUCAAUUGAUGCAUGCAUUACAUGUGUAGUUGAAUUUAAUACAACCACCACUUACAUGAUGGUUUUUCAAAAUAAAUGCACACAUGUCAUGACAUUAUUUACUUGUUGUAUGACUGACGUGGUACCUCAGAUGUAUUCUAGAAUUUCUCCUCUAAUGUAUAUAUUACAUUGAAUUUGAUAAAUUCAUUUCACAAUCUAGAGAAUUUCGCCAAUUAAUGCAGCCCAAAACAAUUAUAAUGAAUUCACUAAGACUUUUGAAGAUCAUUGCUUCAUGUUCCGGGAUAAAAAAUAUGUGGAUCCUAGCACUUCAUUUCUGUAAUUAACCAACUAAAUUGAAAGAACAAAUUAGUAUAUGAAUAAAUAGCUCAAAAUAUCACAAACUAUCUUAGUAUCCUGCUAUGCGUGUUUUAGAUCUUUCAUCAAGGUUUAGAAUUGUCUCUUAGAUUUUUUUUUUCUUUUUUCCCUUCUUGUGGUUUGAUUGUCAACAUUGAAAUUGUAAAUAGAGUGAAAAAAAACCCAACUUGAUUGUUAAUAUCAAAAUUCAAAACUUAAUUUUAAUUAAUGAAUUAAGAGAGGUUAGGAAUGAAAUGAAUUAAAAAGAGAGAGAGAGAGAGGAUUGUUGUCCUUAUAUCAAUACUUUCAAUGGACCUACAUUCUACCAGAUGCUUUUUAAUUUAUAUAUGUACAUAUAUUUUUUGAAUGAUCCUGAGGGAAAAAAAAAUAAAACUACAGAGAUUAUCAAUUUUAUUACUUUAAUUUUUCUGAUAUAUUAAUUCAUCAUUAGAAAAGUCUGAUAAUAGCUCAAUAAAAGUUUGAGCACAUUCGGUACCAUUUUCUACAAGCCAUUUUCCAUUUUUUGAGAAUAAGAUGGUAUAAAACUUGGUGGGACUAUUUUUACUUACAAAGAACUUUUGUAAAAGCAUAUGCUUGCUUUAACUUUAGCGGCAUGUAUAUCCAUUGGCUGUCUGCCACAAUUAAAAAAUGUCAAAAGGCAUCUACUUUAUUUUCACUUCGUGGAAGGUUGGAUUCAUACUCACAUUUCUUUACUAUCUUUGUAUCAUUCUAUCUGCCAUUUGAUUAUUAUUAUAGUCUAUUUACUACUUCCCUGUUGUCCAAGAUUUGGUCCCGAGUUCUAUAUUUUCAAAAUUUGAUCUCAAUAACACCUAGCUUCUUUAUUUUUUGCUGUUAUUCUGUUAUGCAUUUUGCUUGAUUUCUAUUUUCAUUAAAAUGGUUGAAAUUGCGGUCGCGAUUGCUGUAAAAGUUGCUGAGUGCUUGGUACACCCCAUAAUUCAUCCGUUUGCUUACUGCUACAACUACAAGAGCAACUUAGAGAAACUCAAGAAUGAAGUUCAGAAGCUGAGGGGUGCCAAAGAGAGUGUCCAGCAAAAGAUUGAUGAUGCUAAAAGAAGUGGGGAAGAUAUUGAGCAGAGAGUUGAGAACUGGCUGAUUACUGCUGACGAGAUCUUGGAUGCUGCCGCAAGGAUCAUUGAAGGCACCGAGGAUACAACUAACCGAUUGUGUCCUAAUUUAAACACCCGCUAUCAGGUUAGCAAGAAAGCAGCUAGGGAGGUGAAGGCAGCAGCUGAACUCCUGCAGCAAGAAGGGAGAUUUGAUAAAGUUUCCUACCGUACAGUUCCAGAAGACGUAUGGCUUACUUCCAUCAAAGGUUACGAGGCUUUUGAAUCAAGAAUGUCCACUUUGAAUGAUGUGAUAAAUGCCUUGAAGAAUCCUGACGUUCACAUGAUUGGGGCGUAUGGAAUGGCCGGGGUUGGGAAGACAAUGCUAGUGAAGGAAGUGGCCAGGCAAGCUAAGGCUGAUAAGCUCUUCGAUGAGGUGGUUUAUGCAGAGGUAUCUCAGAGGCCAGACGUAAAAAAGAUCCAAGGACAAAUAGCAGAUAAGCUGGGUUUGAAAUUCUACGAGGAGAGUGAAUCCGGAAGAGCAAGGAAGCUAUGUGAACGAUUGAGGAAAGAGAAGAAGAUCCUUGUGAUUUUAGAUGACAUAUGGACAAAUCUUGACCUUGAGAAUGUGGGAAUUCCUUUUGGAGAUAGGGGAUGCAGAGUUUUGAUGACAGCAAGAAGUCAAGAUGUAUUGUCAAGUAAGAUGGAUUGUCAAAAUAAUUUCUUGAUUGGUGUUCUAAAUGAAAGUGAAGCUUGGGAUCUGUUUAAGAAGUUAGUGGGUGAUAAAAUUGAAAACAAUGAUUUGAAAUCUCUAGCAAUGAAUAUAGUAAAGGCAUGUCGAGGUUUGCCUAUUGCUAUUGAUACAAUAGCUAGGGCAUUAAGAAACAAGAAUACAUUUGAGUGGAAGAGUGCGCUGCGAGAACUAACAAGGCCUUCCUCAGGUAGCUUCUCAGGAGUGGCAGCUGAGGCGUACAAAACUUCAGAGUUGAGUUACAAUCAUUUAGAAGGUGAGGAACUCAAGUCAACCUUUCUGCUUUGUUGCUAAUGGAUUUUAUUGAAAUCCUUCAGUUCUUUAUUUGUUGAGCUAUGGAAUGGGUUUGGGUUUAUUUAAGGGCACACAUACAAUGGAAGAAGCACGAUAUAGAGCUCUCACAUUGGUUAAUAAACUCAAAAACUCUUGCUUGUUGCUUGAUGAUCCCGAGAGUGAAACUUUUUCUGAGCAUGAUGUUGUUCGUGAUGUUGCUAUGUCAAUUGCAUCCAGAGACCAACAUGUAAUUGCUACGAAUAACAUUGAGGCUCCUCCUACGGAAUCGUUAGAUAAGGAUACUCUCAAAAUUUGCACUGCGAUCUCUUUGCAUAAUUGUAAAAUUGGUGAACUUGUUGAAGGUUUCGGCAACUUAAGUUCUCUCUGC